Molecule: ribosomal RNA, 370 nt
Filed under: uncultured organism
Description: bacterial SSU rRNA
Rfam family: Bacterial small subunit ribosomal RNA
Source: RNAcentral
CGAAGGGGGCUAGCGUUGCUCGGAAUUACUGGGCGUAAAGGGCGCGUAGGCGGACAGUUUAGUCAGAGGUGAAAGCCCAGGGCUCAACCUUGGAAUUGCCUUUGAUACUGGCUGUCUUGAGUACGGGAGAGGUGUGUGGAACUCCGAGUGUAGAGGUGAAAUUCGUAGAUAUUCGGAAGAACACCAGUGGCGAAGGCGACACACUGGCCCGUUACUGACGCUGAGGCGCGAAAGCGUGGGGAGCAAACAGGAUUAGAUACCCUGGUAGUCCACGCCGUAAACGAUGAGUGCUAGUUGUCGGCAUGCAUGCAUGUCGGUGACGCAGCUAACGCAUUAAGCACUCCGCCUGGGGAGUACGGUCGCAAGAUUA